Molecule: ribosomal RNA, 625 nt
Filed under: Proceratophrys boiei (Bioe's frog)
Lineage: Eukaryota; Metazoa; Chordata; Amphibia; Anura; Alsodidae
Description: partial 12S ribosomal RNA
Rfam family: Bacterial small subunit ribosomal RNA
Source: RNAcentral
UGUGAAAACGCCCUUUAACCCCUAAUGGGAAAAGGAGCUGGUUUUUUGGCACAACUUCCCGCCCCAAGACACCUAGCUUUUGCCACACCCACCAAGGGUAAUCAGCAGUGAUCAACAUUAAAUAUAAGCGACAGCUUUGAUUUAGUUAAAGUAAAAAGAGCCGGCAAAUCUGGUGCCAGCCGCCGCGGGUUACACCACGUGGCUCAAAUUGAUUACCAUCGGGGUAAAGCGGUGAUUAAAGUAAACCAAAAAUUAGUGUGAAACUAAAACUAAGCUGUGGCACGCUUGUUAACUAUGAAACUCAAAAACGAAAGUUGCCCUAAUUAACUCAACUUGAACUCACGACAGCUGGAAAACAAACUGGGAUUAGAUACCCCACUAUGCCCAGCCGUAAACUUUUACUUACACCCAAAUCGCCUGGGAACUACGAGCGAAGCUUAAAACCCAAGGGACUUGACGGUACCCCACAUCCACCUAGAGGAGCCUGUCCUAUAAUCGGAUAAUCCACGUUCAACCUCACCAUUUCUAGCCCAUCAGCCUGUAUACCUCCGUCCUCAGCUUACCUCGUGAGCGAAAUCUAGUAAGCUUAAUGCCCCUACGCCAGCACGUCAGGUCAAGGUGCAGC